This 253-nucleotide ribosomal RNA is filed under the name uncultured bacterium. RNAcentral's name for it is "partial 16S ribosomal RNA". It matches the Rfam family "Bacterial small subunit ribosomal RNA", at positions 524 to 776 of the family's 1533-position model. The record is from RNAcentral.
UACGGAGGAUCCAAGCGUUAUCCGGAAUCAUUGGGUUUAAAGGGUCCGUAGGCGGCCUUAUAAGUCAGUGGUGAAAUCUCCUAGCUCAACUAGGAAACUGCCAUUGAUACUGCCAGUCUUGAGUCUAGUUGACGUAGGCGGAAUAUGACAUGUAGCGGUGAAAUGCAUAGAUAUGUCAUAGAACACCGAUUGCGAAGGCAGCUUACUAACAUGUAACUGACGCUGAGGGACGAAAGCGUGGGGAGCGAACAGG